RNAcentral lists this ribosomal RNA (316 nucleotides) under Pickeliana sp. MZSP 72902. RNAcentral describes it as "partial small subunit ribosomal RNA". The record is from RNAcentral. Lineage: Eukaryota; Metazoa; Arthropoda; Arachnida; Opiliones; Stygnidae.
CCCUAGUAUUAUGCAUAUAUAUAAAUUAGUAAUGAUUGAAAUUUAAAAUUUUUGGCGGUUAAUUUGUAUUUAGAGGAGCUUGUAAAUUAGAAUUAACUCUUUAUAUUUUAUUUAAUGAAAGUUUAUUUAUUUCCGUUAUAAGAUGAAAAUUUUAAAAUUUUAAAGUUGUAUUUCAGGUCAAGAUGUAGCUGAUUAAAAAUAUUAUUAGCUACAAUUUAUAAAAAUUAAUGGAUUAAAUAAUGGAAUUUAUUUAUGAAAAUGAAUUUAGUUGUAAUGAAAUUUAUUAUGAUUUUAUGAAAAUUUUAAAGUUAAUGAA